GACGAACGCUGGCGGCGUGCUUAACACAUGCAAGUCGAACGGAAAGGCCCUGCUUUUGUGGGGUGCUCGAGUGGCGAACGGGUGAGUAACACGUGAGUAACCUGCCCUUGACUUUUGGAUAACUUCAGGAAACUGGGGCUAAUACCGGAUAGUAUCUCCUGCUGCAUGGUGGGGGUUGGAAAGUUUCGGCGGUUGGGGAUGGACUCGCGGCUUAUCAGCUUGUUGGUGGGGUAGUGGCUUACCAAGGCUUUGACGGGUAGCCGGCCUGAGAGGGUGACCGGCCACAUUGGGACUGAGAUACGGACCAGACUCCUACGGGAGGCAGUAGUGGGGAAUAUUGCCCAAUGGGCGGAAGCCUGAUGAAGCAACGUCGCGUGAGGGAUGACGGUCUUCGGGUUGUAAAAAGCUUUCGCCUGUGACGAAGCGUGAGUGACGGUAAUGGGUAAAGAAGCACCGGCUAACUACGUG
Molecule: ribosomal RNA, 468 nt
Filed under: uncultured bacterium
Lineage: Bacteria
Description: partial 16S ribosomal RNA
Rfam family: Bacterial small subunit ribosomal RNA
Source: RNAcentral